AACGUAGGUGGCGAGCGUUAUCCGGAUUUACUGGGCGUAAAGGGUGUGCAGGCGGGCUGUUAAGUGGUGCAUGAAAGCUCUCGGCUCAACCGAGAGAGGCUGUGCCAGACUGGCAGUCUAGAGUACGAGAGAGGGCUGUGGAAUUCCGGGUGUAGUGGUGAAAUGCGUAGAGAUCCGGAGGAACACCAGAGGCGAAGGCGGCAGCCUGGCUCGUAACUGACGCUCAUACACGACAGCAUGGGGAGCGAACGGG
This 253-nucleotide ribosomal RNA is filed under the name uncultured bacterium. RNAcentral describes it as "partial 16S ribosomal RNA". It matches the Rfam family "Bacterial small subunit ribosomal RNA", at positions 524 to 776 of the family's 1533-position model. The record is from RNAcentral.